UAUCUAUAAUACUAAAAUUACGAGGUCCAAUUUGUCAGCCGUCAUAACGUAAUAACGACGAAUCAAAGAAUUCAACUUUAUAUAUAACUAAUAUAGUACAAAGGUGUAGAUUAAAAAUUACACCACUCAAGGCCCUUUUGUUUUCCACGUAAUUAAUAUUGCCAAUAAUUAAGAAGUUCCGAGUCGAGUCCGAUACCGAUACCAAUAGUAUAUUCACCUGUUACAUAUUACUUAUCUGUACGUUCCGCAUCUGACAGGCACACCACCAAACGGUGUAUUCAGGAUUAAUAUGCUAUAUACACGGGUCAUAAUCACAGGAUUGACACUACUAAAUUGUCAAACUGUUACCUACUGUAGUAUUUUAUUCAGUAAGACUUUCUUAGAUAACAAUACGAAUACUAAAAAUCUGGACUAAAAAUAAGGCGUAUAGGUACAGUUUUCAAUUUGUUAGCGGGC
RNAcentral lists this long non-coding RNA (456 nucleotides) under Mytilus galloprovincialis (Mediterranean mussel). The record is from RNAcentral. Lineage: Eukaryota; Metazoa; Mollusca; Bivalvia; Mytilida; Mytilidae.